Molecule: ribosomal RNA, 253 nt
Filed under: uncultured bacterium
Lineage: Bacteria
Description: partial 16S ribosomal RNA
Rfam family: Bacterial small subunit ribosomal RNA
Source: RNAcentral
UACGAGGGGGGCGAGCGUUGUUCGGAAUUACUGGGCGUAAAGGGUCUGUAGGCGGUGCGGCAAGUCGGAAGUGAAAUCGCAGGGCUUAACUCUGCGGCUGCUUCCGAAACUGCCGUGCUCGAGUGUGAGAUAGGCGAGUGGAAUUGCAGGUGUAGCGGUGAAAUGCGUAGAUAUCUGCAGGAACAUCCGAGGCGAAAGCGGCUCGCUGGAUCACAACUGACGCUGAGAGACGAAAGCUAGGGGAGCAAACAGG